UUCCUGGCAGUCUAGUGGUUAGGACUUAGCACUUUCACUGCCAAGGCCCAAGUUCAGUUCCUGGUUGGGAAA
This 72-nucleotide transfer RNA is filed under the name Bos taurus (domestic cattle). It matches the Rfam family "tRNA". Rfam says of the family: Transfer RNA (tRNA) molecules are approximately 80 nucleotides in length. Their secondary structure includes four short double-helical elements and three loops (D, anti-codon, and T loops). Further hydrogen bonds mediate the characteristic L-shaped molecular structure. tRNAs have two regions of fundamental functional importance: the anti-codon, which is responsible for specific mRNA codon recognition, and the 3' end, to which the tRNAs corresponding amino acid is attached (by aminoacyl-tRNA synthetases). tRNAs cope with the degeneracy of the genetic code in two manners: having more than one tRNA (with a specific anti-codon) for a particular amino acid; and 'wobble' base-pairing, i.e. permitting non-standard base-pairing at the 3rd anti-codon position. RNAcentral also lists the same sequence under 3 other names. The record is from Rfam by way of RNAcentral. Lineage: Eukaryota; Metazoa; Chordata; Mammalia; Artiodactyla; Bovidae.